Molecule: ribosomal RNA, 774 nt
Filed under: uncultured Neocallimastigales
Lineage: Eukaryota; Fungi; Neocallimastigomycota; Neocallimastigomycetes; Neocallimastigales
Description: partial large subunit ribosomal RNA
Rfam family: Eukaryotic large subunit ribosomal RNA
Source: RNAcentral
UAUGUGAUCGUCUCUCGCAUAUCAAUAAGCGGAGGAAAAGAAACUAACAAGGAUUCCCCUAGUAACGGCGAGUGAAGCGGGAAGAGCUCAAAUUUGAAAUCUUAAAGGGUUUCCCUUUACGAAUUGUAGUUUAAAGAAGUGUUUUCUGUUGAGGUUUUGGUAAAAGUUCUUUGGAAUAGGACAUCAUAGAGGGUGAGAAUCCCGUAUUUGACCUUUACUUUCAACUUUGUGAUACACUUUCAAAGAGUCGGAUUGUUUGGGAAUGCAGUCCAAAAUGGGUGGUAAAUUUCAUCUAAAGCUAAAUAUUGGCGAGAGACCGAUAGCGAACAAGUACCGUGAGGGAAAGAUGAAAAGAACUUUGAAAAGAGAGUUAAACAGUACGUGAAAUUGUCAAAAGGGAAGCGUUUGACACCAGUGUUGUUUUUCUGAAAAUCAAUUAAAGAACUGUUUAUGCUAAGUUGUUUAGACUUUAUCAGCUAACUGUUUAGUUUUGAGCUUUUCUUUAAUGCACUUUUCAGUUAACAAGUCAACAUCAAUUUCUUUUGCUGUAAAAAAGCUUGAGGAAGGUGGCUUGAGAUUCGUCUUAAGUGUUUAUAGCCUCUUGCCUAUGCAGUCGGAGAGAUUGAGGUCUGCAGCGUAGAUCCUUCGGGGCUAAACGCAUUUGUGCUAAGUUAUAGCAUUUUAUAGACAACUUGUUGACUAUGAUUUGUCUUGUAGCUUACUCGCUUAUGUUAUUUUACCUACGCUUAGGAUGUUGACACACGCGCGUGCUCG